CUUUCUGCGAUUGGGCAAGAGUUGCUGUGUAUUUAUUUGGCCUGUAACUCUAAUCCGCUGAAGGUAGAUCAAAUCGUUCAUUCUCAUAUGCCGUUGACUCUGCAUUAGGUUCCAUUUCAUAAGUGAACAUUGCAGAUCGCACGUGAGUGAAUACA
RNAcentral lists this small nucleolar RNA (155 nucleotides) under Drosophila mojavensis. RNAcentral describes it as "snoRNA:GI25357". Lineage: Eukaryota; Metazoa; Arthropoda; Insecta; Diptera; Drosophilidae. The record is from RNAcentral.